CUCCAACCAACAGUGAAGUGAGCAGUUGCUCACAGCAAAGAAGGAAGCACAUAAUCCACACAGGAUAGCAUCAUUGUAGACUAGACACAAACUCCCUCUUUCCAAAAAUAGCAGUGGGGAAAAUGACCUUGAAAGGAAGAAGCUGACAACUGAGUUGCAGAGUUCAAUUCAAGAAAAGAAUCUCAGAGAACUCGGUGGGUUCUUGUGUUUACAGUUUAUUUAAUGGAAAAGAGAUUGGCCUAUUCUGGUUUUGAUGCCUGCUUUGCCCCGGGAUGAGAAGGCUUCCAACAUGUCACUUAGAAGAAAAGACAAGGGUUUUCCCUGGUUUCUGACACCAGAGGGGCUUAGGCUUCUUCAUCCACAGCAGAGUUUUCUGGGAUUUCUUUUUUUAGAGAAAGAGGACUUGUUUGAGGGGUUACUGAGUUGACAGAGGAAUGGUUUCCAUAGAUGGGAACAAAGCGGUUGUCAAAAGCUAGAGGAGUUUGUUCCGGGAGCUGGAUGACGGGGCUGGAGGACAGCAUCAUCCUGUUUUCAGCUUCCAUCUGAAGACCCAAGUUACCCAUCCUGGGGUGAGUGCCCACCUCAGAAGUCAAAUUCUCCCCUCUUAAAGGCAUAGUCUGCCCUUCAGGGGUGACUGAUAUGUUUCUGGAGGGGACAGUCACCUUUUCACGGGCCACAGCCUUCCUUCUAGGGGCCACUGUAUUCUGUCUAAGGGUCUCAGUCUGAAAAUGGACAGGGGUCAUAGUCGUUCCUCCAGGGCUCACAGACUGAUGACUCACAGGGGUCAGGGUCUUCUGUCCAGUGGUCACAGAUUGAUGACCCACAGGGGUCAGGGCCUUCUCUCCAGGGGUCAUGGACUGAUGACCCACAGAAGUCAUGGUCAUUGCCCCAGUGAUCUCAGUCUUCUCUCCUAGAGCUACAGUGUGCUUUCCAAGGGAUACAGUUUCCUUUGUAGGGGUCACAGUUGUACCUCUAGGGGUUAUAGUCAUAUUUUCACACUUUCCGUGGAUCUCAGUGACCCCAGCCUCUCCUCCUGGGGGCAAAAUCUUACUAUCAGUGGUCCAUGCCGUGGUCACAGCCAGCCUUUCAGGGUCAGUGCUUGAAGAAUUCACAGCAGAUGACAGCCAAAAUUGUGGUAAAGAAGUUGAACUGAAC
Molecule: long non-coding RNA, 1155 nt
Filed under: Homo sapiens (human)
Lineage: Eukaryota; Metazoa; Chordata; Mammalia; Primates; Hominidae
Description: long non-coding RNA NONHSAT005177.2
Source: RNAcentral